Molecule: long non-coding RNA, 892 nt
Organism: Neltuma alba
Lineage: Eukaryota; Viridiplantae; Streptophyta; Magnoliopsida; Fabales; Fabaceae
Exons: 2
Source: RefSeq, a predicted model, not a curated record
UUGAUUUUUUGAAAGCAGAUUGUCUUCAAUUGUAGAUUUUGAUUUAAGAAAAGGGAAAUAAAUUUAUACUAUCUACGCAUUACAAUUAUUAUAACAACAUGCAAAUUGCAAUGUAGGAUUCAAAAUAAUCAAUCGUAAAGCCUACCUAACAUUGUUGUUUUUCAGCUUCUUUUAAUACCCCAUCCAACUCUCUUGUUAGCAGGAUUUCUCUUGUAGUAUAUCACUUAUAGUAGUUUCUCACAUACGAAAGAAAUUAUUGAAUACAUAAAAUCUUUCACUUUUACUCUUAUAAAAUAGCUAGUAUAUUUUUUUUCUCACUGAUUCUCUCUUUCUCCACCUUUACAUUUAUCUCCCUUAAUUAAUAAGGACAGGAUUGGAAAUGAAGCAUUAAGAAGAGAUAAAAGUGACAAAUAAAAAGGAUCAACAUCCCUUCCUAUAAGUGCCAAUUAAAAAGAACGAGAGUGGUAAGACUCAGAUCCAGCAAUUUUAAUGGAGCGAUGAUUAGCAGGUGAAGUGUCAGCUGAGAAAAAAGAGAAGCAUAAGGAGAAGUUGAGCAUUGAAUAUGGCUUUUGUUGGUUAUAAAGAGUAAUUUGAAUUAUGAGAAAACAGCAAUGUACAUUGCUGGUUACUAGCAUGCUCCAGGGACAUAAUCUUGCGUAGCUGGGUUGUUUUAUUGAUAAUUUGAAAUACCAUAUUUGUAUGAUUUUACCCAAGUAUCUUAAGGAUGUAAAUGACUCGGUUGAAGAUGUUAUAGACUUGUUCUUCGGAUUUUGUCAAGUUCUCAGAGUGUUUUCAUUUGAUAAAAAGAGUGUUUUGAAUUGAAGAUGUUGCAGACAUAAAUAGUAUCUCAUGGUUGUUAUUAUUAUUGGCAAAGCGUUCUAUUUUAAUUUGA